UACGUAGGGUGCAAGCGUUAAUCGGAAUUACUGGGCGUAAAGCGUGCGCAGGCGGUUGUGUAAGACAGAUGUGAAAUCCCCGGGCUCAACCUGGGAACUGCAUUUGUGACUGCACAGCUGGAGUGCGGCAGAGGGGGAUGGAAUUCCGCGUGUAGCAGUGAAAUGCGUAGAGAUGUGGAGGAACACCGAUGGCGAAGGCAGCCCCCUGGGCUAACACUGACGCUCAGGCACGAAAGCGUGGGGAGCAAACAGG
Molecule: ribosomal RNA, 253 nt
Filed under: uncultured bacterium
Lineage: Bacteria
Description: partial 16S ribosomal RNA
Rfam family: Bacterial small subunit ribosomal RNA
Source: RNAcentral